CAGGGAGACAAUAAAUUGAUUGUGAUGUCUAAGUUAUUUAUUCUUAGGCCGCAAUCCUGUCACCUUAAGGUCGAUCGGUACCUCAGAUUUUUGAAUUAGUUUUACAAUUGAUUCUUUGAUUUCAGUUCCUAAACUUGUCUAGGUCACACCCAACAAAGGUUUCUCCUGGGCCAUUAGCUCAGGUGGUUAGAGCGCACCCCUGAUAAGGGUGAGGUCCCUGGUUCAAGUCCAGGAUGGCCCAUUCGUUGUUGGGGGUAUAGCUCAGUUGGUAGAGCGCCUGCUUUGCAAGCAGGAUGUCAGCGGUUCGAGUCCGCUUACCUCCACUGAAAACUAUCCUGAUAACUAAAUUUCUGGAGAAAAAAAUUGUAGAUGUGGCUUAGAAUUGUCUAUUUGAAAAGAACCUAGCUUCUUGUCAUCUUUCUAUAGUUGAUAAAAUGCUGGGCUCGCAUGGAUUAUUUCCAUGAGAAUUCAGUAGAACCUUGAAAACUGCAUAGAUUAGAAAGAAUAAAGCAUCUCAUGGAUGCAUAGUUCUGUUUUUAUAAUUUAGCCUUAAAACUAAAUUAUUUAAUUCUAGAAUUCAUGUUUAAUUCUUGAGUAAUAGCCGAGCACAAUUGAUUUUGUGAUUGUAUUAAA
Molecule: transfer RNA, 633 nt
Filed under: uncultured Prochlorococcus sp.
Lineage: Bacteria; Bacillati; Cyanobacteriota; Cyanophyceae; Synechococcales; Prochlorococcaceae
Description: partial 16S-23S ribosomal RNA intergenic spacer
Rfam family: tRNA (bases 251-323)
Source: RNAcentral